Molecule: non-coding RNA, 23 nt
Filed under: Rattus norvegicus (Norway rat)
Lineage: Eukaryota; Metazoa; Chordata; Mammalia; Rodentia; Muridae
Source: RNAcentral
UAGUUAUCUUGGUGCAGUGAAGU